AUUGAACGCUGGCGGCAUGCUUUACACAUGCAAGUCGAACGGCAGCGCGGGCUUCGGCCUGGCGGCGAGUGGCGAACGGGUGAGUAAUGCAUCGGAACGUGCCCAGUAGUGGGGGAUAGCCCGGCGAAAGCCGGAUUAAUACCGCAUACGACCUGAGGGUGAAAGCGGGGGACCGAAAGGCCUCGCGCUAUUGGAGCGGCCGAUGUCGGAUUAGCUAGUUGGUGGGGUAAAGGCUUACCAAGGCGACGAUCCGUAGCUGGUCUGAGAGGACGACCAGCCACACUGGGACUGAGACACGGCCCAGACUCCUUCGGGAGGCAGCAGUGGGGAAUUUUGGACAAUGGGGGCAACCCUGAUCCAGCCAUGCCGCGUGCGGGAAGAAGGCCUUCGGGUUGUAAACCGCUUUUGUUCGGGAAGAAAUCCUCUGGGCUAAUACCCCGGGGGGAUGACGGUACCGGAAGAAUAAGCACCGGCUAACUACGUG
This 484-nucleotide ribosomal RNA is filed under the name uncultured bacterium. RNAcentral describes it as "partial 16S ribosomal RNA". It matches the Rfam family "Bacterial small subunit ribosomal RNA", at positions 28 to 507 of the family's 1533-position model. The record is from RNAcentral.